GAUGAACGCUGGCGGCGUGCCUAAUACAUGCAAGUCGAGCGAACAGACGAGGAGCUUGCACCUCUGACGUUAGCGGCGGACGGGUGAGUAACACGUGGAUAACCUACCUAUAAGACUGGGAUAACUUCGGGAAACCGGAGCUAAUACCGGAUAACAUGUUGAACCGCAUGGUUCAACAGUGAAAGACGGUCUUGCUGUCACUUAUAGAUGGAUCCGCGCCGCAUUAGCUAGUUGGUAAGGUAACGGCUUACCAAGGCAACGAUGCGUAGCCGACCUGAGAGGGUGAUCGGCCACACUGGAACUGAGACACGGUCCAGACUCCUACGGGAGGCAGCAGUAGGGAAUCUUCCGCAAUGGGCGAAAGCCUGACGGAGCAACGCCGCGUGAGUGAAGAAGGUCUUCGGAUCGUAAAACUCUGUUAUUAGGGAAGAACAAAUGUGUAAGUAACUAUGCACGUCUUGACGGUACCUAAUCAGAAAGCCACGGCUAACUACGUG
RNAcentral lists this ribosomal RNA (497 nucleotides) under uncultured bacterium. RNAcentral's name for it is "partial 16S ribosomal RNA". It matches the Rfam family "Bacterial small subunit ribosomal RNA", at positions 28 to 507 of the family's 1533-position model. The record is from RNAcentral.